UACGGAGGGUGCAAGCGUUAUCCGGAUUCACUGGGUUUAAAGGGUGCGUAGGUGGGAAUGUAAGUCAGUGGUGAAAUCUCCGUGCUUAACAUGGAAACUGCCAUUGAUACUAUGUUUCUUGAAUUUUCUGGAGGUCAGCGGAAUAUGUCAUGUAGCGGUGAAAUGCUUAGAUAUGACAUAGAACACCAAUUGCGAAGGCAGCUGACUACAGGGACAUUGACACUGAGGCACGAAAGCGUGGGGAUCAAACAGG
This 253-nucleotide ribosomal RNA is filed under the name uncultured bacterium. Its description in RNAcentral is "partial 16S ribosomal RNA". It matches the Rfam family "Bacterial small subunit ribosomal RNA", at positions 524 to 776 of the family's 1533-position model. The record is from RNAcentral.